ACCCACUUAAAGUGAAGGUUUAUUUUCAUUUCAUGUUUGUGCUGCACUUAAGGUAUAGAUGUUGCAGUUCUUGAAAUUUCCUGUAGAGGGCGCUUUAAGAUAGUCUGAGCCACCUGGGAGAACUGGUCCAAACCAGUUUUAGAAAAGAAAAAAAAAAACAACGAACGAAACCACUUGCAGCUUAGCUUUGAAUUUACUACUCUUCACAGCAUUGAAUUUAUUGACCUAGAGUACGGAUUUACAGAUAUUAAGACUAGAACUGAGCCAUAUUUUACUUCUUUCACUCUGUAAAGGUGAAAUUAUUCAUCAAUGUCUUUUGCUGUCGAUUAUUUCCCCUUUUAAUGAGCAACUCCGAUUGGUUUUUUUUUCUUGCAUUGAGUUUGGAUCUUUCAAGCACGCACGCGCGUCAGACUGUGAGUGAGACCAGAACGGCGAGCCAGGACCACGUGUUGAAAGCCGUCUGCCCUGCGUGUUGUUCCUUCACGGACAGGGACAGAACAGGAGAAACAGAUAAGCUUUUCUUUACGAACUGAUUGAGAUUCAUCCCCAAGAAAAGAAAAGAAAAGAAGCGGCAUACACGCAUAUUCACAUAAAAGCUGCAGUCUUGAGCUUCAGAUUUUAAUUCAGAGACAGUGACCCUGAAGAGCUCUUAAGUUUUUUUUUGGGCCCAUUUUCUUUAUUUUUUUUGUUUGUGUAACUAUUUGUUUCCUUGUUUUGUAUAUGCCUGUUGAGCUAACAAUAUAUUCAUUUUUGUUAUUUUCUUCCAA
This is a long non-coding RNA of Colossoma macropomum (tambaqui), 767 nucleotides long. RefSeq lists it as uncharacterized. Lineage: Eukaryota; Metazoa; Chordata; Actinopteri; Characiformes; Serrasalmidae. The record is from RefSeq and is a predicted model, not a curated record. The transcript has 2 exons.